Molecule: ribosomal RNA, 492 nt
Filed under: uncultured bacterium
Lineage: Bacteria
Description: partial 16S ribosomal RNA
Rfam family: Bacterial small subunit ribosomal RNA
Source: RNAcentral
AGUGAAUGCUGGCGGUAGGCCUAACACAUGCAAGUCGAACGGCAGCACAGUAAGAGCUUGCUCUUACGGGUGGCGAGUGGUGGACGGGUGAGGAAUACAUCGGAAUCUACUUUUUCGUGGGGGAUAACGUAGGGAAACUUACGCUAAUACCGCAUACGACCUACGGGUGAAAGCAGGGGAUCUUCGGACCUUGCGCGAUUGAAUGAGCCGAUGUCGGAUUAGCUAGUUGGCGGGGUAAAGGCCCACCAAGGCGACGAUCCGUAGCUGGUCUGAGAGGAUGAUCAGCCACACUGGAACUGAGACACGGUCCAGACUCCUACGGGAGGCAGCAGUGGGGAAUAUUGGACAAUGGGCGCAAGCCUGAUCCAGCCAUACCGCGUGGGUGAAGAAGGCCUUCGGGUUGUAAAGCCCUUUUGUUGGGAAAGAAAAGCAGCAGGUUAAUACCCCGCUGUUCUGACGGUACCCAAAGAAUAAGCACCGGCUAACUUCGUG